This 254-nucleotide ribosomal RNA is filed under the name uncultured bacterium. RNAcentral describes it as "partial 16S ribosomal RNA". It matches the Rfam family "Bacterial small subunit ribosomal RNA", at positions 524 to 776 of the family's 1533-position model. The record is from RNAcentral.
UACGGGGGGGGUAAGCGUUGUUCGGAUUUACUGGGCGUAAAGGGCGCGUAGGCGGCCUCCGCAAGUCAGUUGUGAAAUCUCCGAGCUUAACUCGGAAAGGUCAACUGAUACUGCGGGGCUAGAGUGCGGAAGGGGCAACUGGAAUUCUUGGUGUAGCGGUGAAAUGCGUAGAUAUCAAGAGGAACACCUGCGGCGAAGGCGGGUUGCUGGGCCGACACUGACGCUGAGGCGCGAAAGCUAGGGGAGCGAACGGG